AAAGUCGUAACAAGGUUUCCGUAGGUGAACCUGCGGAAGGAUCAUUAUUGAAUGAACUUGGUGUGGUUGUUGCUGGCCCUUUUGGGGGCAUGUGCACACCCACCAUCCUCAUCUCUCCACCUGUGCACCUCUUGUAGACCUGGGAUAGAUUUUCCGAGGCAACUCGGUCUGGAGGAAUGCUGCCCUAAGCUUUCUUUGUAUUUCCUGGUCUAUGUUUUUCAUAUACCCGAUAGCAUGUAACAGAAUGUAUCAUUUGGGCGCUUGUGCCCUAUAAACCUUAUACAACUUUCAGCAACGGAUCUCUUGGCUCUC
This 312-nucleotide unclassified non-coding RNA is filed under the name Basidiomycota sp. RNAcentral describes it as "partial contains small subunit ribosomal RNA, internal transcribed spacer 1, and 5.8S ribosomal RNA". The stretch from base 1 to 47 matches the Rfam family "Eukaryotic small subunit ribosomal RNA", at positions 1785 to 1831 of the family's 1831-position model. Lineage: Eukaryota; Fungi; Basidiomycota. The record is from RNAcentral.